GACGAACGCUGGCGGCGUGCUUAACACAUGCAAGUCGAACGGAAAGGCCUUUUCGGAGGUACUCGAGUGGCGAGCGGGUGAGUAACACGUGGGUGAUCUGCCCUGCACUCUGGGAUAAGCCUGGGAAACUGGGUCUAAUACCGGAUAGGACCGCACUUUAGUGUGUGUGGUGGAAAGUUUUUUCGGUGUAGGAUGAGCCCGCGGCCUAUCAGCUUGUUGGUGGGGUAAUGGCCUACCAAGGCGGCGACGGGUAGCCGGACUGAGAGGUUGGUCGGCCACAUUGGGACUGAGAUACGGCCCAGACUCCUACGGGAGGCAGCAGUGGGGAAUAUUGCACAAUGGGCGCAAGCCUGAUGCAGCGACGCCGCGUGGGGGAUGACGGCCUUCGGGUUGUAAACUCCUUUCGCCAGGGACGAAGCGUUUUGUGACGGUACCUGGAGAAGAAGCACCGGCUAACUACGUG
This 463-nucleotide ribosomal RNA is filed under the name uncultured bacterium. RNAcentral's name for it is "partial 16S ribosomal RNA". It matches the Rfam family "Bacterial small subunit ribosomal RNA", at positions 28 to 507 of the family's 1533-position model. The record is from RNAcentral.